UCCCUGGUGGCUCAGAUGGUAAAGAAUCUGCCUGUAAUGCAGGAGACCCAGGUUCGAUCCCUGGGUAGAGAA
This 72-nucleotide transfer RNA is filed under the name Bos taurus (domestic cattle). It matches the Rfam family "tRNA". Rfam says of the family: Transfer RNA (tRNA) molecules are approximately 80 nucleotides in length. Their secondary structure includes four short double-helical elements and three loops (D, anti-codon, and T loops). Lineage: Eukaryota; Metazoa; Chordata; Mammalia; Artiodactyla; Bovidae. RNAcentral also lists the same sequence under 2 other names. The record is from Rfam by way of RNAcentral.